AUUGAACGCUGGCGGCAGGCCUAACACAUGCAAGUCGAGCGGAUGAAGGAAGCUUGCUCCUGGCUGCUGCGGCGGACGGGUGAGUAAUUACUAGGAAUAUGACCGGUCGAGAGGGCUAAGGUAAGGUAACGGACGCUAAUAUCGUAUAGGAUCAGAGGUAGAAAGUGGGGGUUCAUCGGACCUAACGCUAUUAGCUGAGCCUGCGUCGGAUUAGCUAGUUGGUUGGGUAAAGGCGUACCAAGGCGACGAUCCAUAACUGGUCUGAGAGGAUGAUCAGUCACACUGGAACUGAGACACGGUCCAGACUCCUACGGGAGGCAGCAGUGGGGAAUAUUGGACAAUGGGCGAAAGCCUGAUGCAGCCAUGCCGCGUGUGUGAAGAAGGUCUUCGGAUUGUAAAGCUCUGUAAGUAGGGAGGAAGAUAAGUAUGAUUAACCCUUGCUGUCUUGACGGUACCAACAGAGAAAGCACCGGCUAACUUCGUG
RNAcentral lists this ribosomal RNA (484 nucleotides) under uncultured bacterium. RNAcentral describes it as "partial 16S ribosomal RNA". It matches the Rfam family "Bacterial small subunit ribosomal RNA", at positions 30 to 507 of the family's 1533-position model. The record is from RNAcentral.